Molecule: ribosomal RNA, 253 nt
Filed under: uncultured bacterium
Lineage: Bacteria
Description: partial 16S ribosomal RNA
Rfam family: Bacterial small subunit ribosomal RNA
Source: RNAcentral
UACGUAGGGGGCAAGCGUUGUCCGGAAUCAUUGGGCGUAAAGCGCGUGUAGGCGGCUCGAUAAGUCUGCUGUGAAAGUCCAGGGCUCAAUCCUGGAAUGCCGGUGGAAACUGUCGAGCUAGAGUCCGGAAGAGGCGAGUGGAAUUCCUGGUGUAGCGGUGAAAUGCGCAGAUAUCAGGAGGAACACCAAUGGCGAAGGCAGCUCGCUGGGACGGUACUGACGCUGAGACGCGAAAGCGUGGGGAGCAAACAGG